GCCAGCUCAGUGGGUGGAGCAUGUGACUCUUGAUCUUGGGGUUGUGGGUUCGAGUCCCUCAUUGGGCG
This 68-nucleotide transfer RNA is filed under the name Ailuropoda melanoleuca (giant panda). It matches the Rfam family "tRNA". From Rfam's summary of the family: Transfer RNA (tRNA) molecules are approximately 80 nucleotides in length. Their secondary structure includes four short double-helical elements and three loops (D, anti-codon, and T loops). Further hydrogen bonds mediate the characteristic L-shaped molecular structure. tRNAs have two regions of fundamental functional importance: the anti-codon, which is responsible for specific mRNA codon recognition, and the 3' end, to which the tRNAs corresponding amino acid is attached (by aminoacyl-tRNA synthetases). tRNAs cope with the degeneracy of the genetic code in two manners: having more than one tRNA (with a specific anti-codon) for a particular amino acid; and 'wobble' base-pairing, i.e. permitting non-standard base-pairing at the 3rd anti-codon position. The record is from Rfam by way of RNAcentral. Lineage: Eukaryota; Metazoa; Chordata; Mammalia; Carnivora; Ursidae.